UACUAUACUCCCAUCCAUCUACACGUAACUACUCACUUUCCAACAUGUUAACAUAAAAACAAAAUAUAUUCAACUCCACAUAUUUGCAAAAAAAAAAGAAAUAGGAAUUAUUAAAUGUCAAAAAUAAAAACUAGGCACACAUGUAUACUCCCACACUAAACACGUCUACUUCCUAUCCAUCAUGGAAUGAAAAAGAAUUAUAUACUCCCUCCUCUGAUAUCUAAACUGUCAAAACUCCUCUCCUUACCUUAACUCACGCCCCCUAUCUCUCAGUUAUCGUCUACAAUUUACAAAACAGAAACAAUCCCAACUCUUCUCUCUCUCUCUCUCUCUCUUUCCACGAGCGACGCCGUCAACAUUUCGACGCCCUCGACGUCAGCCGGUUCUGCCACUGCUACUACGUCUCUGUCGCUGCUGCUGUCCACCACCUAUCCCGGUGGCCAGCUACUCCGACAACAGGGCAGGCAUAGGAAUUUAGGAAUUUGGAAUUGAAGAGAAACACAGAAGGCACAUCCCAAGCAUUAAAGAUUGAUGCUUUCACACGAAUCCAUCAUUUAACAGUUUCAAGAAUUUCAAAAGGGCUUAUUCCCGUGUGUGAUUAUGUGACACUAAUCAUGGAGUGGGAUGCAGGGAUUCAGGAAAAAAAAUAAUAGUGGAUAUACCUUUGGAAGGAAUGAAGGUAAUCACAACACUCUCAGCUUCUUCUUCCCACUGAAAUAUCAAAUUAUGGAAUCAACAAUUAUGGAGGUUUUUUUUUUCGUAUUCAAUAGAAUGGGAAGAAAUUACCUUCACAGAAGAGAUGAAAAACCGCUCAAGGGUUAUGGAACGAUAGAUGCAAAAAGAUGAAAACGUGGGGAAGGAGUAUAUAGAACAAAUUGAUCGGUUUGUUGGAGAGAUUUUAGGGAUUGGAGAUAUUGAUGAAGAGAAGAAAACGUGUAGAAAAGAUUUAGGAGAAGAGAUUUAUGUUGACUGCGGUAAUUUAAUAAGAAUUAGGAAUAAAUGGCUAAGCCUAAUUGAAUAAGGAUAAAGAGCUAGAAAAGAAUAAAAAAUAGACAAAAGUGAUAGGCCCAAAAAUAUAUGAAAUUUAGUGCUUAGAUUUAUUGUGGUGUUUUAUUAUUUUAGUACUUUGGUGUUAUUCCAAGUACUUAGACGAACGCCCAAUUUUUCCAUCGACGAUUCUCACAAUAAACUCGUCAACUGUUUUCACCA
Non-coding RNA from Salvia hispanica, 1209 nucleotides. Lineage: Eukaryota; Viridiplantae; Streptophyta; Magnoliopsida; Lamiales; Lamiaceae. The record is from RefSeq and is a predicted model, not a curated record.